RNAcentral lists this ribosomal RNA (253 nucleotides) under uncultured bacterium. RNAcentral's name for it is "partial 16S ribosomal RNA". It matches the Rfam family "Bacterial small subunit ribosomal RNA", at positions 524 to 776 of the family's 1533-position model. The record is from RNAcentral.
UACGGGGGGGGCAAGCGUUGUUCGGAAUUACUGGGCGUAAAGGGCGCGUAGGCGGUUGGAUAAGUCAGCUGUGAAAACCACGGGCUUAACUCGUGGCCUGCAGUUGAGACUGUCUGGCUUGAGUGUGGGAGAGGAGAGUGGAAUUCCUGGUGUAGCGGUGAAAUGCGUAGAUAUCAGGAGGAACACCGGUGGCGAAGGCGGCAUCCUGGACCGGCAUUGACGCUGAGGAGCGAAAGCUAGGGGAGCAAACGGG